This 68-nucleotide transfer RNA is filed under the name Melanoides tuberculata. RNAcentral's name for it is "tRNA-Ala". Lineage: Eukaryota; Metazoa; Mollusca; Gastropoda; Thiaridae. The record is from RNAcentral.
GGCUAGGUACUUUAAUCAAAAAGGUCUGAUUUGCAUUUAGAAGAUGAGCAAUUCCUGCUCCCAAGCCA